GAUGAACGCUGGCGGCGUGCCUAAUACAUGCAAGUCGAGCGAACAGACGAGGAGCUUGCUCCUCUGACGUUAGCGGCGGACGGGUGAGUAACACGUGGAUAACCUACCUAUAAGACUGGGAUAACUUCGGGAAACCGGAGCUAAUACCGGAUAAUAUAUUUAACCGCAUGGUUCAAUAGUGAAAGACGGUUUUGCUGUUACUUAUAGAUGGAUCCGCGCCGCAUUAGCUAGUUGGUAAGGUAACGGCUUACCAAGGCGACGAUGCGUAGCCGACCUGAGAGGGUGAUCGGCCACACUGGAACUGAGACACGGUCCAGACUCCUACGGGAGGCAGCAGUAGGGAAUCUUCCGCAAUGGGCGAAAGCCUGACGGAGCAACGCCGCGUGAGUGAUGAAGGUCUUCGGAUCGUAAAACUCUGUUAUUAGGGAAGAACAAAUGUGUAAGUAACUAUGCACGUCUUGACGGUACCUAAUCAGAAAGCCACGGCUAACUACGUG
RNAcentral lists this ribosomal RNA (497 nucleotides) under uncultured bacterium. RNAcentral's name for it is "partial 16S ribosomal RNA". It matches the Rfam family "Bacterial small subunit ribosomal RNA", at positions 28 to 507 of the family's 1533-position model. The record is from RNAcentral.